GAGAACUGCGCCAUGUUCACUUGCAUUUACAACCGACGUCGGAGGUGUUUACCGCGUGGUUAAUUGGAGGAAAAUGCGUUUUUUGUGGGCAUGAGCAUCCUGUCACAUUUAUUGAUCACUGUGCAAAUGAGCUUGAGGCAAUGGGGAUGGAUCUUGUGCUGCAACAGAGUCCAGUAGCAAUCAAUUCUACUCUGACACAGUUUAUCAUUUGUGGUGGUGGUGAUGAUGAUGAUGAUGAUGAUGAUGAUGAUGAUGAUGUGCAAGAGAUCUCUGUUGAGCCAACCUCAUACUCUGCAGCAAGAUCAUGGUGGAUGUCUGCAGUUGUCAGGGAGUGCCUAUGUGCACUUGAUAAUGAAUCACAGUUGAAUAUGUGGACCCCUUUCUCCAACAUUAGUUUGUGGGGCUUGAUGCCGGUCAUUGAGGGGACGGAAUGUAUGCACUUGAUGAGCAGGCUGAGCUAUACCAAUUUCUGCUUGAGAUAGUGACCAGUAAGGUCCCAUAGACUGUUAGAGGAAGCUUAUUUCGAAGGUAUAUUGUCACUACUAAGUCAAAAUAUGACUAGUGGUGCUGAGGUCAAGAGUCAGCUAGAGUUGUAGUCAUGUGAUUGGCUAUUGGCAAUACUUGCCAACUUAUUGGAGGCAUUCGUGACGUUCAUAAUUGAUGCGGACUGGCAGUGGUGUUUGCCUGGUCUCGUGGAAGGCAUAGGUUUCUUCCGGAUGGGGGGUAGGUGUGGCUUGCAGUCACUAGAAGGUGCAGCUCUUCAGAUGACUAAAAGGUUGUCUUCACUCAUCGCACAACGCUAAUACCGGCUGUGGGAUUCAAUGUACGUGCUGUGUUUACUAGUCGUGUUGCCGCUGCUGCUGUCUGUGCUGUUGGCUCAUUCCGUGCGGCGACUGUUGGCCAAUGCGUCACUGUCGCUGACUGCCCGGCGUGGUGCGUGCAGAUGUUGUCAUCAAAGUUCACUGGUCGGUGGCCCAGACGGUGCUGCGGACAGGAACUUCGUAGCUUCACCACGAGAUGUCAGCUUCAGUGUCGUGUUGGUUGCUGCUUGGUGUAGCUUGUCUGCUGUCGAAACUCUCACGUGGCUGGAACUGGUGCUGUAUCGAAUUACUUCCUGACCCACAUUCUUUGACACGGCUGCUGAGCUCAUCUUCAUGAUGUCAUGACGUCACUCAACAAUAACAUUAGCCAUUCGCAUUAUCGCCUACGUAUCAGUUCAUGGGUGCACAUCAAUUUACACGAUCUUAAAAAACGGAUCAAAGCCAGUUCGUGUGCAGUCACAGUACAACAUUUCUGUGAUACGCUUGUAAUGAACUUGCGAUUGGUUAUGUCAAUAAUGUCUACCCGUGUAUCUCUUUAGUAUUCACUUUGCUCUUUUUUUCACAGGAAUUUAUGCGCUUGUACUCAACAGUACAGUUUAUUAACACUAUCCCUGUUGCCUGAUACUGGCGAUUACUUUUAAUUAUGAGGGGUUAUUACGUUCUAUUAUCCUGUAAUUAUGUCGUAAUACCAUGUCUGAAGGUUCUUACAAAGAUUUUCAAAAUGAAAACUAAGAUUGUCUUGGACACAAUUUUUCAAUUGCUCGUGCAUAUGUAAACUAAUGGGAAGUUUUCAUUACCAUUUCAACUUUUGCUUAUUGUCUUAACACUUUCCAUGUUCUUUCACGAUUUUUAAACCAUUUAUUGUUAUUCUCCUCUUAUUGGCUGUCUAAAAUUGCACAAUGUCCUUUCAUGGUAUGCCACAAUGAAACACUCUUUUCCUUUUUUUAACCCACCAUUAUUGACUAGUGAAUUAUAGGCUAAUCAAGGAAAGCGUUUCUGAAGAAGAAAAAUUUAACAUCGAGUAUUGAUUUAAAUGUCAGGAAGUCGUUUCUGAAGGUAUUUGUAUGGAGUGUA
Long non-coding RNA from Schistocerca piceifrons (Central American locust), 1895 nucleotides. RefSeq lists it as uncharacterized. The record is from RefSeq and is a predicted model, not a curated record. The transcript is spliced from 8 exons. NCBI's taxonomy places the organism in Eukaryota, Metazoa, Arthropoda, Insecta, Orthoptera, Acrididae.